RNAcentral lists this ribosomal RNA (529 nucleotides) under Bifidobacterium adolescentis. RNAcentral's name for it is "bacterial SSU rRNA". It matches the Rfam family "Bacterial small subunit ribosomal RNA", at positions 158 to 698 of the family's 1533-position model. Lineage: Bacteria; Bacillati; Actinomycetota; Actinomycetes; Bifidobacteriales; Bifidobacteriaceae. The record is from RNAcentral.
GGGUGGUAAUGCCGGAUGCUCCAGUUGGAUGCAUGUCCUUCUGGGAAAGCUUUUGCGGUAUGGGAUGGGGUCGCGUCCUAUCAGCUUGAUGGCGGGGUAACGGCCCACCAUGGCUUCGACGGGUAGCCGGCCUGAGAGGGCGACCGGCCACAUUGGGACUGAGAUACGGCCCAGACUCCUACGGGAGGCAGCAGUGGGGAAUAUUGCACAAUGGGCGCAAGCCUGAUGCAGCGACGCCGCGUGCGGGAUGACGGCCUUCGGGUUGUAAACCGCUUUUGACUGGGAGCAAGCCCUUCGGGGUGAGUGUACCUUUCGAAUAAGCACCGGCUAACUACGUGCCAGCAGCCGCGGUAAUACGUAGGGUGCAAGCGUUAUCCGGAAUUAUUGGGCGUAAAGGGCUCGUAGGCGGUUCGUCGCGUCCGGUGUGAAAGUCCAUCGCUUAACGGUGGAUCCGCGCCGGGUACGGGCGGGCUUGAGUGCGGUAGGGGAGACUGGAAUUCCCGGUGUAACGGUGGAAUGUGUAGAUAUC